GACGAACGCUGGCGGCGCGCUUAACACAUGCAAGUCGAACGGAAAGGCCUGCUUUCCCUUGUGGAUUGCGGGUACUCGAGUGGCGAACGGGUGAGUAACACGUGAGUGAUCUGCCCCCAACUUGGGUAUAAGCCUGGGAAACUGGGUCUAAUUCCCGAUAGGACUGCAGGGUGGUGCCUGUGGUGGAAAACGAUUUUCUAGUGGUUGGGGAUGAGCUCGCGGCCUAUCAGCUUGUUGGUGGGGUAAUGGCCUACCAAGGCGGCGACGGGUCGCCGGCCUGGGAGGGUGGACGGCCACAUUGGGACUGAGAUACGGCCCAGACUCCUACGGGAGGCAGCAGUGGGGAAUAGUGCACAAUGGGCGGAAGCCUGAUGCAGCGACGCCGCGUGGGGGAUGACGGCCUUCGGGUUGUAAACUCCUUUCGACCGCGAGGAAGCCACCUGGUUGGAAGGGUGGUGACGGUAGUGGUAGAAGAAGCACCGGCUAACUACGUG
This 494-nucleotide ribosomal RNA is filed under the name uncultured bacterium. Its description in RNAcentral is "partial 16S ribosomal RNA". It matches the Rfam family "Bacterial small subunit ribosomal RNA", at positions 28 to 507 of the family's 1533-position model. The record is from RNAcentral.